RNAcentral lists this long non-coding RNA (559 nucleotides) under Mus pahari (shrew mouse). Its description in RNAcentral is "lncRNA (MGP_PahariEiJ_G0005002.1)". Lineage: Eukaryota; Metazoa; Chordata; Mammalia; Rodentia; Muridae. The record is from RNAcentral.
UUCUUCGCCCGAGUGCCGGGGAAGUAGUAAUUAGUGUCUGGGAGCUAAGCUCCUCCACUUCUCCCAGCGCCUCUGGCGAUUUCCAAGUGGGAUCUGCGACUUCAGGGCUCUGGCCAAGCCCGCAGGCUGGCGUGAUUAGUUGCUGUUGAAGGGGGCUCCGCCAAUGAAAUCUUCUCUGCGCUCUGAUUUGGCGGUUCUUCGGUGCAAAUAUGACAGCUUUCUCUCUCAGCUCUUUUCUGCAUCUCUCCAUGUCCGACCCCGGAGCCCAGUUCUUGGUCUGCAAUUUUUACACCACAACCUUUGCAGUCACCACCACCACCACCCCUAGGUCCCAUGUCAGCAGGUGCCAGAUUGCUACAAAGGUGACAGGGCACAUUGGGAAGAAGGCUUGUUGAUUGCAGAAGAUACUUAUGCCCCGUGUUUCCAGGUCAAUGCCUGUGUGCUCCAUCAGUUAACGGGGAGUAGUAGUUAGCAGAGAAUAUUAGUGAGGCUUUGGUUGGAGAGGUGGGAUUUUGCUGUCUAUCGAGGAAAAUAAAAGAUGUGAACUUCCUGUGUUCAG